This 493-nucleotide ribosomal RNA is filed under the name uncultured bacterium. RNAcentral describes it as "partial 16S ribosomal RNA". It matches the Rfam family "Bacterial small subunit ribosomal RNA", at positions 29 to 523 of the family's 1533-position model. The record is from RNAcentral.
AUUGAACGCUGGCGGCAUGCUUUACACAUGCAAGUCGAACGGUAACAGGUUAAGCUGACGAGUGGCGAACGGGUGAGUAAUGCAUCGGAACGUGCCCGGUCGUGGGGGAUAACGCAGCGAAAGCUGCGCUAAUACCGCCUACGAUCUGAGGAUGAAAGCGGGGGACCGUAAGGCCUCGCGCGAUCGGAGCGGCCGAUGUCAGAUUAGGUAGUUGGUGGGGUAAAGGCUCACCAAGCCAACGAUCUGUAGCUGGUCUGAGAGGACGACCAGCCACACUGGGACUGAGACACGGCACAGACUCCUACGGGAGGCAGCAGUGGGGAAUUUUGGACAAUGGGCGAAAGCCUGAUCCAGCAAUGCCGCGUGCAGGAAGAAGGCCUUCGGGUUGUAAACUGCUUUUGUACGGAGCGAAAAGGUCUCCUCUAAUACAGGGGGCUCAUGACGGUACCGUAAGAAUAAGCACCGGCUAACUACGUGCCAGCCGCCGCGGUAA